GCAAGUCGAGCGGACCGACGGGAGCUUGCUCCCUUAGGUCAGCGGCGGACGGGUGAGUAACACGUGGGUAACCUGCCUGUAAGACUGGGAUAACUCCGGGAAACCGGGGCUAAUACCGGAUGCUUGAUUGAACCGCAUGGUUCAAUCAUAAAAGGUGGCUUUUAGCUACCACUUACAGAUGGACCCGCGGCGCAUUAGCUAGUUGGUGAGGUAACGGCUCACCAAGGCGACGAUGCGUAGCCGACCUGAGAGGGUGAUCGGCCACACUGGGACUGAGACACGGCCCAGACUCCUACGGGAGGCAGCAGUAGGGAAUCUUCCGCAAUGGACGAAAGUCUGACGGAGCAACGCCGCGUGAGUGAUGAAGGUUUUCGGAUCGUAAAACUCUGUUGUUAGGGAAGAACAAGUACCGUUCGAAUAGGGCGGUACCUUGACGGUACCUAACCAGAAAGCCACGGCUAACUACGUGCCAGCAGCCGCGGUAAUACGUAGGUGGCAAGCGUUGUCCGGAAUUAUUGGGCGUAAAGCGCGCGCAGGCGGUUUCUUAAGUCUGAUGUGAAAGCCCCCGGCUCAACCGGGGAGGGUCAUUGGAAACUGGGGAACUUGAGUGCAGAAGARGAGAGUGGAAUUCCACGUGUAGCGGUGAAAUGCGUAGAGAUGUGGAGGAACACCAGUGGCGAAGGCGACUCUCUGGUCUGUAACUGACGCUGARGCGCGAAAGCGUGGGGAGCGAACAGGAUUAGAUACCCUGGUAGUCCACGCCGUAAACGAUGAGUGCUAAGUGUUAGAGGGUUUCCGCCCUUUAGUGCUGCAGCAAACGCAUUAAGCACUCCGCCCUGGGGAGUACGGUCGCAAGACUGAAACUCAAAGGAAUUGACGGGGGCCCGCACAAGCGGUGGAGCAUGUGGUUUAAUUCGAAAGCAACGCGAAGAACCUUACCAGGUCUUGACAUCCUCUGAC
This 960-nucleotide ribosomal RNA is filed under the name Bacillus sp. (in: firmicutes). Its description in RNAcentral is "bacterial SSU rRNA". The record is from RNAcentral. Lineage: Bacteria; Bacillati; Bacillota; Bacilli; Caryophanales; Bacillaceae.